Molecule: ribosomal RNA, 460 nt
Filed under: uncultured bacterium
Lineage: Bacteria
Description: partial 16S ribosomal RNA
Rfam family: Bacterial small subunit ribosomal RNA
Source: RNAcentral
CCUACGGGUGGCAGCAGUGAGGAAUAUUGGUCAAUGGGCGAGAGCCUGAACCAGCCAAGUCGCGUGAGGGAAGACGGUCCUAUGGAUUGUAAACCUCUUUUGCCGGGGAGCAAAAAGCGGUACGUGUACCGCAUCGAGAGUACCCGGAGAAAAAGCAUCGGCUAACUCCGUGCCAGCAGCCGCGGUAAUACGGAGGAUGCGAGCGUUAUCCGGAUUUAUUGGGUUUAAAGGGUGCGCAGGCGGCGAGUUAAGUCAGCGGUAAAAUUUCGGGGCUCAACCCGGGCCUUGCAGCGCGAACUGGCGUGCUUGAGUCCGCGGAAAGCAGGCGGAAUUCGUCGUGUAGCGGUGAAAUGCUUAGAUAUGACGAAGAACCCCGAUUGCGAAGGCAGCUUGCUGCAGCGGAACUGACGCUGAUGCUCGAAAGCGCGGGUAUCGAACAGGAUUAGAUACCCUGGUAGUC